RNAcentral lists this ribosomal RNA (324 nucleotides) under uncultured eukaryote. RNAcentral's name for it is "partial 18S ribosomal RNA". It matches the Rfam family "Eukaryotic small subunit ribosomal RNA", at positions 1470 to 1796 of the family's 1831-position model. The record is from RNAcentral.
CCCUUAGAUGUCCUGGGCUGAACGCGCGCUACACUGAUGUGUCCAGUAAGCACCUAACCUCUUCCGAAAGGAACGGGUAACCUUUGCAAAGCACAUCGUGAUGGGGAUAGAUUAUUGCAAUUAUUAGUCUUGAACGAGGAAUUCCUAGUAAGCACAAGUCAUCAGCUUGUGUUGAUUACGUCCCUGCCCUUUGUACACACCGCCCGUCGCUCCUACCGAUUGAAUGUUCCGGUGAGCUCUUCGGACUGCGCGGUCUGCAGUUUCUGCGUUCCGUGCGGAAAGUUGCGCAAACCUUAACAUUUAGAGGAAGGAGAAGUCGUAACA